GGAAGUAAAUAACAAGGUCUCCGCUGGUGAACCAGCGGAGGGAUCAUUACCGAGUUUACAACUCCCAAACCCAAUGUGAACCAUACCAAACUGUUGCCUCGGCGGGGUCACGCCCCGGGUGCGUCGCAGCCCCGGAACCAGGCGCCCGCCGGAGGGACCAACCGAACUCUUUCUGUAGUCCCCUCGCGGACGUUAUUUUUACAGCUCUGAGCAAAAAUUCAAAAUGAAUCAAAACUUUCAACAACGGAUCUCUUGGUUCUG
This 261-nucleotide unclassified non-coding RNA is filed under the name plant metagenome. RNAcentral describes it as "partial contains small subunit ribosomal RNA, internal transcribed spacer 1, and 5.8S ribosomal RNA". The record is from RNAcentral.